GGGGGGUAAGAUGUACGCAGUCCAUACCUCUACCUCUGAUGAAGUAGAAAGGCUGUUUCCGAAAGACCCCCGGCUCAAGGCACAAGAUAUCACACAAACACAUAGUAAAGCAUAGAAGCAGAUGACAUAACAUAAAUACGGCACCCAUAAGGAAUAUAAAAUAGAGGAAAGCAGAGGGAAGCACACAGAUUCGUAAUAAGCAUG
This 204-nucleotide long non-coding RNA is filed under the name Capsicum annuum. RNAcentral describes it as "long non-coding RNA (CANN_LNC006825)". Lineage: Eukaryota; Viridiplantae; Streptophyta; Magnoliopsida; Solanales; Solanaceae. The record is from RNAcentral.